This 495-nucleotide ribosomal RNA is filed under the name uncultured bacterium. RNAcentral's name for it is "partial 16S ribosomal RNA". It matches the Rfam family "Bacterial small subunit ribosomal RNA", at positions 28 to 507 of the family's 1533-position model. The record is from RNAcentral.
GACGAACGCUGGCGGCGUGCCUAAUACAUGCAAGUAGAACGCUGAAGGGGGAGCUUGCUUCUCUGGAUGAGUUGCGAACGGGUGAGUAACGCGUAGGUAACCUGCCUGGUAGCGGGGGAUAACUAUUGGAAACGAUAGCUAAUACCGCAUAAUAGUAGAUGUUGCAUGACAUUUGCUUAAAAGGUGCAAUUGCAUCACUACCAGAUGGACCUGCGUUGUAUUAGCUAGUUGGUGGGGUAACGGCUCACAAAGGCGACGAUACAUAGCCUACCUGAGAGGGUGGUCGGCCACACUGGGACUGAGACACGGCCCAGACUCCUACGGGAGGCAGCAGUAGGGAAUCUUCGGCAAUGGACGGAAGUCUGACCGAGCAACGCCGCGUGAGUGAAGAAGGUUUUCGGAUCGUAAAGCUCUGUUGUAAGAGAAGAACGAGUGUGAGAGUGGAAAGUUCACACUGUGACGGUAUCUUACCAGAAAGGGACGGCUAACUACGUG